AACGAACGCUGGCGGCAGGCCUAACACAUGCAAGUCGAACGCGUCCUUCGGGACGAGUGGCAGACGGGUGAGUAACGCGUGGGAACGUACCCUUUGGUUCGGAACAACUCCGGGAAACUGGAGCUAAUACCGGAUAAGCCCUUCGGGGGAAAGAUUUAUCGCCAGAGGAUCGGCCCGCGUUAGAUUAGCGUGUUGGUGAGGUAAUGGCUCACCAAGGCUACGAUCUAUAGCUGGUCUGAGAGGAUGAUCAGCCACACUGGGACUGAGACACGGCCCAGACUCUUACGGGAGGCAGCAGUGGGGAAUCCUGGACAAUGGGCGAAAGCCUUAUCCAGCCAUGCCGCGUGAAUGAUGAAGGCCCUAGGGUUGUAAAAUUCUUUCGACGGGGAAGAUAAUGACGGUACCCGUAGAAGAAGCUCCGGCUAACUUCGUGCCAGCCGCCGCCGUAACAC
This 452-nucleotide ribosomal RNA is filed under the name uncultured bacterium. RNAcentral describes it as "bacterial SSU rRNA". It matches the Rfam family "Bacterial small subunit ribosomal RNA", at positions 29 to 526 of the family's 1533-position model. The record is from RNAcentral.